RNAcentral lists this ribosomal RNA (354 nucleotides) under uncultured bacterium. RNAcentral's name for it is "partial 16S ribosomal RNA". It matches the Rfam family "Bacterial small subunit ribosomal RNA", at positions 338 to 709 of the family's 1533-position model. The record is from RNAcentral.
CCUACGGGCGGCAGCAGUGGGGGAUAUUGCACAAUGGGGGAAACCCUGAUGCAGCGACGCCGCGUGGGUGAAGAAGUAUUUCGGUAUGUAAAGCUCUAUCAGCAGAGAAGAAAAUGACAGUACCUGACCAAGAAGCCCCGGCUAACUACGUGCCAGCAGCCGCGGUAAUACGUAGGGUGCAAGCGUUAUCCGGAUUUACUGGGUGUAAAGGGCGCGUAGACGGGUAUGUAAGUCUGGAGUGAAAGCCCGGGGCCUAACCCCAGGACUGCUUUGGAAACUGUGAAACUGGAGUACAGGAGGGGUAGGUGGAAUUCCUGGUGUAGGGGUAAAAUGCGUAGAUAUCAAGAGGAAUAC